UAGAGCACUCAAUCUAAGUCGCUCUGGAUAAGAGCGUCUGCUAAAUGACUUAAA
Non-coding RNA from Salmo salar (Atlantic salmon), 54 nucleotides. The record is from Rfam. Lineage: Eukaryota; Metazoa; Chordata; Actinopteri; Salmoniformes; Salmonidae.